This 83-nucleotide transfer RNA is filed under the name Solirubrobacter deserti. RNAcentral describes it as "tRNA-Leu". It matches the Rfam family "tRNA". Rfam says of the family: Transfer RNA (tRNA) molecules are approximately 80 nucleotides in length. Their secondary structure includes four short double-helical elements and three loops (D, anti-codon, and T loops). Further hydrogen bonds mediate the characteristic L-shaped molecular structure. tRNAs have two regions of fundamental functional importance: the anti-codon, which is responsible for specific mRNA codon recognition, and the 3' end, to which the tRNAs corresponding amino acid is attached (by aminoacyl-tRNA synthetases). tRNAs cope with the degeneracy of the genetic code in two manners: having more than one tRNA (with a specific anti-codon) for a particular amino acid; and 'wobble' base-pairing, i.e. permitting non-standard base-pairing at the 3rd anti-codon position. The record is from RNAcentral. Lineage: Bacteria; Bacillati; Actinomycetota; Thermoleophilia; Solirubrobacterales; Solirubrobacteraceae.
GCCCAGGUGGCGGAAUGGCAGACGCGGAGGUCUCAAAAACCUCUCUCCGAAAGGGGGUGCGGGUUCGAGUCCCGCCCUGGGCA